CCUACGGGAGGCAGCAGUGGGGAAUAUUGCGCAAUGGGGGAAACCCUGACGCAGCGACGCCGUGUGAGGGAAGAAGGCCUUCGGGUCGUAAACCUCUGUCGGGAGGGAAGAACCGCCGGGUUCCGAACAGGGACCCGGCCUGACGGUACCUCCGAAGGAAGCGCCGGCUAACUCCGUGCCAGCAGCCGCGGUAAUACGGAGGGCGCAAGCGUUAAUCGGAAUCACUGGGCGUAAAGCGCGCGUAGGCGGCCAGAUAAGUCGGGCGUGAAAGCCCUCGGCUCAACCGAGGAACUGCGUUCGAUACUGUUUGGCUUGAGUCCUGGAGAGGGUGGCGGAAUUCCGGGUGUAGGAGUGAAAUCCGUAGAUAUCCGGAGGAACACCGGUGGCGAAGGCGGCCACCUGGACAGGUACUGACGCUGAGGUGCGAAAGCGUGGGGAG
This 439-nucleotide ribosomal RNA is filed under the name uncultured Desulfovibrio sp. RNAcentral's name for it is "bacterial SSU rRNA". It matches the Rfam family "Bacterial small subunit ribosomal RNA", at positions 338 to 768 of the family's 1533-position model. Lineage: Bacteria; Pseudomonadati; Thermodesulfobacteriota; Desulfovibrionia; Desulfovibrionales; Desulfovibrionaceae. The record is from RNAcentral.